GCACAAUGGGGGGAACCCUGAUGCAGCAACGCCGCGUGGAGGAUGAAGGCUUUUUGUCGUAAACUCCUUUUCCGAGGGAAGAGUAAGGACGGUACCUCGGGAAUAAGUCACGGCUAACUACGUGCCAGCAGCCGCGGUAAUACGUAGGUGGCGAGCGUUAUCCGGAUUUAUUGGGCGUAAAGCGCACGCAGGCGGCUGAUUAAGUCUGAUGUGAAAUCUCCUGGCUUAACUGGGAGAGGUCGUUGGAAACUGGUCAGCUUGAGGCAAUGAGAGGAAUGUAGAAUUCCCAGUGUAGUGGUGGAAUGCGUAGAUAUUGGGAGGAAUACCAGUGGCGAAAGCGACAUUCUGGCAUUGACCUGACGCUGAGGUGCGAAAGCGUGGGGAGCGAACGGGAUUAGACACCCCGGUAGUCCACGCCGUAAACGAUGAACACUAGGUGUAGGUUGGUUCAAAUCUAUCUGUGCCGAAGCUAACGCGAUAAGUGUUCCGCCUGGGGAGUACGGCCGCAAGGCUAAAACUCAAAUGAAUUGAC
RNAcentral lists this ribosomal RNA (532 nucleotides) under uncultured Chloroflexota bacterium. RNAcentral describes it as "bacterial SSU rRNA". It matches the Rfam family "Bacterial small subunit ribosomal RNA", at positions 366 to 914 of the family's 1533-position model. Lineage: Bacteria; Bacillati; Chloroflexota. The record is from RNAcentral.